Lytechinus pictus (painted urchin) is the source of this 285-nucleotide long non-coding RNA. RefSeq lists it as uncharacterized. Lineage: Eukaryota; Metazoa; Echinodermata; Echinoidea; Temnopleuroida; Toxopneustidae. The transcript is spliced from 3 exons. The record is from RefSeq and is a predicted model, not a curated record.
AUUUGUUUUUCUUCAGAAGCCUACGUCUGGAGUUACGACAUUAUAUUUUGCAGUGGAAGGUUUCUGCGUGAUUUGAAAUAUCCAACCCCAGCAAUGAGCGACGCAGCAGAAGAAGAAAAUAGACCUAAAGAUGAAAAUAGAUCUGAAGAUGCAACAGUCGAAGAGGAAAAGCCUUGGCACAGGUGGACAUCAUGGGCGUGUUGGGGCAAUAAGGAAUCGGAAAACUACGAUGUAACCGGGGUCGGUGUUUUUACCUCUGUGGUGCUCACUUUAGUUGCAUUUGGU